Triticum aestivum (bread wheat) is the source of this 916-nucleotide long non-coding RNA. RefSeq lists it as uncharacterized. The transcript has 6 exons. The record is from RefSeq and is a predicted model, not a curated record. Lineage: Eukaryota; Viridiplantae; Streptophyta; Magnoliopsida; Poales; Poaceae.
CAGAUCACCACACGCAGACUAUUCAUUCCUUGCGAAACUGCAGAUGCUAGCUACUAUUUGAAGAUGACAUUGUUAAAAAAUGCAUAAGAUGGGGAUGGCAUGGUGAUGCUGCCGGUCAAGAAGUACCAUCCCGGAAUAAAUUUAAGAUCAACACGGUGAUUUGAGAAUGCAAACAAGCACAGCAGGAUGUUCCAUGUCCAUUGUUCUCUCCUUACCUGCCAAUGUUUCCUCCUGCCUUGCCAGCCACGCGUACCCUCACCUUUGUUCAUCAAUUCGUGUGCAGCACAUAUGGACCAACUGCUUUGUCGCAAGCAUCACAGGCCGCUAGACUAUGAAGAUGGCCUGCAUACAACUGUUUCAGAGCAGCGUCGAUCAUCCCAGAGAUCAACUGCAAAGCACCAAACAAAGCGUGCGUUAGGAAGUCAUGCUCGCUCAAGAACCAACAACACGAGCUGGACCUACUCGUGUGGUCACCCGGUUUAUCAACCAUGUGGACAAGAGAGCUACUAUCACUAAAAAAUAGAGCAAUUUCUUCGGUGAAGAAAAGAUGAAGAAAGGCAGGGUCUAUGCUUUAGUAUUCAGAUGCUCAUUAACCAGGCUACAUAUGGCUGUCUACCCCAUUUAGGCUAAUCAGCACAAGCCUUUUAGAGCUCUUUGUUCAUAUAACUAUCCCAAUAGAACUUCCGCCUGUAAUAUUCUUUUGCCCUUCUGUUAGAUGGCUUGCACCAUCCAUUGCCUCUGGCAUGUACCAUGCCUUUCAAAGACCAGUGAAGAACAACAUUAUGCUCCUCUAUUGCAUGGUGGCUUUUACUGCUGUCUAUGUAUAUAACUUUUGCCAACCAUGAAGAGUUGCUUAGAUGAUGAAGUUAUUUUCAAUACCGAUGGCACAUGCAUUAAUGAUUAUUCUACCUAUGUU